This 440-nucleotide ribosomal RNA is filed under the name uncultured bacterium. Its description in RNAcentral is "partial 16S ribosomal RNA". It matches the Rfam family "Bacterial small subunit ribosomal RNA", at positions 338 to 795 of the family's 1533-position model. The record is from RNAcentral.
CCUACGGGAGGCUGCAGUGGGGGAUAUUGCACAAUGGGGGAAACCCUGAUGCAGCGACGCCGCGUGGGUGAAGAAGUAUUUCGGAAUGUAAAGCUCUAUCAGCAGGGAAGAAAAUGACAGUACCUGACCAAGAAGCACCGGCUAACUCCGUGCCAGCAGCCGCGGUAAUACGUAGGGGGCAAGCGUUAUCCGGAUUUACUGGGUGUAAAGGGAGCGUAGGCGGGAUUGGAAGUCUGAUGUGAAAGCCCAGGGCGCAACCCCGGGACUGCUUUGGAAACUGUGUAACUGGAGUACAGGAGGGGCAGGCGGAAUUCCUGGUGUAGCGGUGAAAUGCGUAGAGAUCAGGAGGAACACCGACGGCGAAGGCGGCCUGCUAGACUGAAACUGACGUUGAGGCUCGAAAGCGUGGGGAGCAAACAGGAUUAGAUACCCCUGUAGUC